AGCAGUAGCCGCGGUAAAACGAAGGGUGCAAGCGUUAAUCGGAAUUACUGGGCGUAAAGCGUGCGCAGGCGGUUAUAUAAGACAGAUGUGAAAUCCCCGGGCUCAACCUGGGAACUGCAUUUGUGACUGUAUAGCUAGAGUACGGCAGAGGGGGAUGGAAUUCCGCGUGUAGCAGUGAAAUGCGUAGAUAUGCGGAGGAACACCGAUGGCGAAGGCAGUCCCCUGGGCCUGUACUGACGCUCAUGCACGAAAGCGUGGGGAGCAAACAGGAUUAGAUACCCCUGUAGUCCCUGUCUCUUAUAC
This 303-nucleotide ribosomal RNA is filed under the name uncultured bacterium. RNAcentral's name for it is "partial 16S ribosomal RNA". It matches the Rfam family "Bacterial small subunit ribosomal RNA", at positions 507 to 807 of the family's 1533-position model. The record is from RNAcentral.